Neofelis nebulosa (Clouded leopard) is the source of this 4139-nucleotide long non-coding RNA. RefSeq lists it as uncharacterized. The transcript has 5 exons. NCBI's taxonomy places the organism in Eukaryota, Metazoa, Chordata, Mammalia, Carnivora, Felidae. The record is from RefSeq and is a predicted model, not a curated record.
UCCUCUCGCCGCCCACCUCGCAAGCCCGCCCGUCCGCCCCGCCCCGGUCGGCCCCACCCCUCCUCCUCGUGCGCCCGCCCGCCCCAAACUCCGGCAAACAAAACGCACCAUUCACAACUCUGCGACCGGAGCCGCGCAUGCGCCGCCCACCCGCUUGCGGGGCGGCUGGACUGCAGCGAGCCAGAGGUGCGGCCCUCUCACCGUUGCGGGCCCGCGGUUUCUUCUGUGUGGAACUGCUCUGCGGACAUCUGCCCGGACCUUGGAGAGAGGGAGCCGCUCGCGCGGUUCCUUUCUGUCGACUGUAUGAAACUUUGGGGCUUCUCAGCUGCUUGGAGUGACCCCAGAUUGUCACCUGAACCAAACUAAACUGAACCAAAAAAACCUAUGGGACAGGCUGCGGUAUGCCCAGGUCGAGUUGCAGGAGAGGCCAGAGUGAGGAGUCUGGAUGUAGCACCAAGACCUACACCAAUGGACAAGCGAGGACGGAGUAUGGAUAUCCUGAGGUCCCUCCUGAGAUAAUGAAGAAAAAAGUCAGGUCCUUAAUGCUGGUACAGUCUCAUCCAAAAGGCCAUCUUCUCCUCCUUGAGCUUCACACCCACCCUCGUGAUGAAAUCCAACUGCAGCUCUUACUGCUCCGGGACUGCAGGAUGUACCCAAGCACUUGGACAUCCCCAGAAGAGCCAAUGGGAUCCGAUCUCAUGCACAGUACUACCCAAGAGGAAUCCUCUGCUACUCCUGCUGGGGUGGGCACCCCUUCUAUUGACUUACAAAAGCCGGGCUCCUGAUUCCCCGCUCCGGCCCCCGGCCCCGCCCACCUCAGGAAACCCAGGAUGCCGAGCCUGUGCUGCAGAAGCACGAGCACCACUUUCUCGCGAGAGGCCAGCUGCGUGCCAUCGUACGUGGAAGCGGAGCCCACGAGGAAGGCACCUCCUGGGAACCAGACCAUCACCUGGACAUGGAAAGCCGAGGCCUGAGCUGGGCGGUGGGGUGCCUGAGUGGGAUGGCGCGUGGAAGAGGAUGAAUACUCACCGGCAGCGGAGCGUCCCCACGCGCGCGCACUGGAGCGUACACGUUCAGGUACAGACAGUCCUCACUGAAGCGCAGCCACUUGUACUGUUUACGCGUGUUGAAGUACAUGGAGGUGAUCUGUCCCCAGGACUCCUGAAGGCACCUGCGGUCACGAUGUGAGUUUGGGCCCAACGUGGUGGCCAAAGACGGGAGAAUGGUUGCAAACCCAGGUUCCGCAGUUGAGGAAAUAGAACCAAAAGCAAAAUUUAGGAUGCGUGCGUGUGUGUGUGUGUGUGUGUGUGUGUGUGUAUCUGUUUGUGUCCGAAUAGCCUCCACUAGCAUUAGGGUCCAGGGUGAGUGCAGCGCCAGGUCAGACCCAGGGCAAGAUCCACCCCUCUGUCUUGCCCCCGGUCCCAGGAAUCUGCCUGGGGAGAGGUUCCAUGCUUCUGUUGGAGACCCUUUUGGUGCUGUCAAGCCAGAAACCUGGGUGUCCUGGGAUUUCAUGCCCCCAUCCUUCAGGCUCUUUUCUGUCUCCCAAACAGCUCUUAAAUAGGCCUCCUCCAUCCCAGAGAUGCUGCCUUGUAAAGGCCAUUACCUACUCUGGCCAGGACACUGCCCCAACCUCUUUAACAUCGCUUCCAACUCAUCCUCCACACCCUGACCGGAAGGAUUGACAGAAAACAAAAACCUAUUUCACUUCCCUCCUUAAAACCUUCCUGGGCCCCCCUGCGCUCAGGAUAAGGUCCAGAUUCACCCAUACUGAUGCAGGCCCUCUCCAUCUAGUCUUCCUGGCACUCUUUGCUCUAGAUGCCCACGGACCCUUCCUUGUCUCCCAUCUCGAAGCCCUUUUGCUUAUGUCCCUUCUGCCUAAUGUUUUCUCUGCCUGGCAAACUCCUGCUUAUGUUUAAGGCUCAGCUAAAGUGGUGCCCCCUCUGCUGGGCACUUCCUGUCUGUGCUUCCCAAAGUUCUAUCCACGCUGGGUUAGAGUUGUUUCGAUUGGUUUGGUUGUUAUUCUCCCCAAGCAACCAUGCACUCCCUAGGGGCAGGGAUGGAUGUGGAUUUGUCUGAGUCCUGGCACUCAGCCCAGUGCCUUGUACCAUGUGAACAUUUGAUGUACUUGUGGAGCUUGGGCUGUUGGGCCACCUCAUCUUUUCUCCCUGCUGGCCCAGCCUAGAGUGUGGCUAUUGCCAAUAGUUGGGGCUGGGCCCAUCUGACUGGCUGCAGGAAAGCCUGUCUAUUCUACUCCUUUCUCCACUUGUUCCCUUGCUGCUCUGGCCUGAAGCUAGUCAUUACCCAAACUGGCCACUAGUCUUCUUGUCUCCUUAACUACCAUCCCACAGUCUGUUGUAAGCCAUCCACAAAUUCUUCUACCUGUCACUCUGUGUUCCAAACAGCUAUUGUCUGACAGCUCAUGGCAAAGGUUGCAACAACUGACACCUGGACUUCUAUGCAAUGGGCACCCCACUCUCUAAACCCCUGAUCCUCGGGGCUCUAAUAAUGGUCAUCCCCUGUUCUGUCACCUGAUCCAUGGGAUUCCACAUAACAAUCACAGAAGGUUCAGAUGUCUUGGUUUCUCUCACUGGUGGUCAGUGUUCUAACAACUAACACCCCAGUGUUCUACUAACAGCCAUUCAUGUUCUAACAGUGGAUGCCCUGUUCUCAACAGUUAGACACCCUGGGUGGUGGUUAUAGUUUUUAGAUAUCAACUGACACCCAGGUUCUCACAGUAGACAUUUUUCUAAACCCAGUGCUGUAUCCAACUGAUUGUUAAUGAUUGCCACAGAAUAUUCUGGUCAGUGGGUUACUCAAUGAUCUGAAUAAAUAAUAAAUACACUUGUUCUGGGUAAAUUGCCAAGCCUAGUGCUUCAAAGGGCAGUCAUUAUCUCAACAUGCUCAUGUGACUCAGGAUUUGAGCCCUGUUAGAGGUUGCAUUAAGAUUCUGGGACUUUGGGGUGCUUGGGUGACUCGGUUGGGUUCAGGUCAUGAUCUCAGGGUCAUGGGAUUGAGCCCUGCAUGGGGCUCUGUGCUGCAUGUGGAGCCUGCUUAAGAUGCUCUCUCUCCCUCUGCCCCUCCCUUGCUCAAGCACUCGUACAUGCACUCUCUCUCUCUCUCUCUCUCUGAAAAAGAAAAAAUUCUGGGAUAUUAAAACUGAAACUGAGCCUGUGACUCCCUAUCUUGGAGCUCCUUCUGCAGGGAAGGGCUGAUGGUGUCGUGUGGGCUUGUUCUGGGGCUCAAGCCCCAAGUGAGAGGGAAGAGCUCAGGGUUCACUGGGUAUGGUGUGUGUGUGUGUAUGUGUGUGUGUGUGUGAGAGAGAGAGAGAGACAGAGACAGAGAGACGGAGACAGAGACAGAGAGAACUCCUCCUCACAUACUUUUAGGAAAACUUAGGUUCCCAGAAGAUCCUGGAGGCACAUCAGUGAGCACCUCCUCCUUGUCUGGAGCUUUCCCAUAAGAAAGCCAAGAACAAACAGCAUUAACAGUCCUGUAAACAUCAUCUGGGCCAACUACUUCAUAUAUAGGUUUGGAAACUGAGGGCCGGAAUGGACCCCAGGCUACUUACAGUCAUACAGUGCACUCUUUUUAGUGAGUUGUUCAAACUCUGGCCCAGAGGCCGGCAUAGAUACCACCCCCCCCUUAGAGUUUGCCCACCUCCCAGCCAACAGUCAUUUGGCUCUUACGCAGGGGCAUAGGUGGUGGCGUUUUUGAUUCCUUCCCAGGGCUCUGGGGCAGCAAACCUGCGGACACCCACAGGCGGUCUGGAGAAGGGCACUCCUAGGAAGACAUUGAUGGGUGUCUUCCCGACGUGCAUCUGUUUUCCUUGGAGGGUCCCAUAUUUGGUAAUCACUAGAGGUUCCUUGGUGUGCUGAGCACCUAGGAAGAGAGGAGAAGGGUCACUCUGGCCACUGAAAGGACUCUGGCCUGUCUGCCAUGGCACCAGUUGCAGCUUGAAGCUUUUCACAAUUGUGUAUUUUGCCUACCUUUUCUGUGUUUCUCUCAGUAUUUUUCUCUCUCAUUAUUUAAGGUUUCAAUGCUAUGUUGAUAGGUGCAUAAAGGUUCAUGUCUAUUAUAGGAAUUAUUUUUCUGUCAUUUAAUGUAUCAUUUAAUGUCAAUAAUCAUGUCAUUUAUUUUGA